Molecule: ribosomal RNA, 794 nt
Filed under: uncultured bacterium
Lineage: Bacteria
Description: bacterial SSU rRNA
Rfam family: Bacterial small subunit ribosomal RNA
Source: RNAcentral
AAGUCGAACGGUAGCAGGAAGAAGCUUGCUUCUUUGCUGACGAGUGGCUUACGGGUGAGUAAUGCUUGGGAAUUUGCCUUUGCGAGGGGGAUAACAGUUGGAAACGACUGCUAAUACCGCAUGAUGUCUACGGACCAAAGGGGGCUUUUAGCUCUCGCGCAAAGAGGAGCCCAAGUGAGAUUAGCUAGUUGGUGAGGUAAGGGCUCACCAAGGCGACGAUCUCUAGCUGUUCUGAGAGGAAGAUCAGCCACACUGGGACUGAGACACGGCCCAGACUCCUACGGGAGGCAGCAGUGGGGAAUAUUGCACAAUGGGGGAAACCCUGAUGCAGCCAUGCCGCGUGUGUGAAGAAGGCCUUCGGGUUGUAAAGCACUUUCAGUUGUGAGGAAAGGUUGGUAGUUAAUACCUGCCAGCUGUGACGUUAACAACAGAAGAAGCACCGGCUAACUCCGUGCCAGCAGCCGCGGUAAUACGGAGGGUGCGAGCGUUAAUCGGAAUUACUGGGCGUAAAGCGCACGCAGGCGGUUUGUUAAGCUAGAUGUGAAAGCCCCGGGCUCAACCUGGGAAUAGCAUUUAGAACUGGCAAGCUAGAGUCUUGGAGAGGGGGGCGGAAUUCCAGGUGUAGCGGUGAAAUGCGUAGAUAUCUGGAGGAACAUCAGUGGCGAAGGCGGCCCCCUGGCCAAAGACUGACGCUCAUGUGCGAAAGUGUGGGUAGCGAACAGGAUUAGAUACCCUGGUAGUCCACACCGUAAACGCUGUCUACUAGCUGUUUGUGCGAUUUAAGCGUGAGUAGC